RNAcentral lists this ribosomal RNA (906 nucleotides) under uncultured archaeon. RNAcentral's name for it is "bacterial SSU rRNA". It matches the Rfam family "Archaeal small subunit ribosomal RNA", at positions 21 to 903 of the family's 1478-position model. The record is from RNAcentral.
CCUCACUGCUAUCGGGAUGGGACUAAGACAUGCUAGUCGAGCGUCUCCAAGCUAUGGAAGAGACGCGGCACACAGCUCAGUAACACGUAGCUAACCUGCCCUUGGGACAAGGACAACUCCGGGAAACUGGGGCUAAUCCCUGAUAAGUGAGAACUCCUGGAAUGGAUUCUCGCUCAAAGGACGUUUAGACCAUGCUUCUAGGCGUCGCCCAAGGAGGGGGCCGCGACCGAUCAGGUUGUUGGUGAGGUAACGGCUCACCAAGCCUUUAACCGGUACGGGCCGUGAGAGCGGAAGCCCGGAGAUGGGCACUGAGACAAGGGCCCAGGCCCUACGGGGCGCAGCAGUCGCGAAAACUCCGCAAUACACGAAAGUGUGACGGGGCUAUCCCGAGUGCCAUCCGCUGAGGAUGGCUUUUCCCCAGUGUAUAAAGCUGGGGGAAUAAGGAGAGGGCAAGCCUGGUGUCAGCCGCCGCGGUAAUACCAGCUCUCCGAGUGGUGGGGAUGUUUAUUGGGCCUAAAGCAUUCGUAGCCUGCUUGGCAAGUCCUCCGUUAAAUCCAACGAUUCAAUCGUUGGGCUGCGGGGGAUACUGUCCGGCUAGGGGGCGGGAGAGGCCGACGGUAUCCUCGGGGUAGGGGUGAAAUCCUAUAAUCCCGGGAGGACCACCAGUGGCGAAGGCUGUCGGCUAGAACGCGCUCGACGGUGAGGGAUGAAAGCUGGGGGAGCGAACCGGAUUAGAUACCCGGGUAGUCCCAGCUGUAAACGAUGCAGGCUAGGUGUUGGCGCGGCUACGUGCCGCUCCAGUGCCGCAGGGAAGCCGUUAAGCCUGCCGCCUGGGAAGUACGGCCGCAAGGCUGAAACUUAAAGGAAUUGGCGGGGGAGCACCACAAGGUGUGAAGCUUGCGGUUU